Molecule: ribosomal RNA, 440 nt
Filed under: uncultured bacterium
Lineage: Bacteria
Description: partial 16S ribosomal RNA
Rfam family: Bacterial small subunit ribosomal RNA
Source: RNAcentral
CCUACGGGAGGCAGCAGUAGGGAAUAUUGCUCAAUGGGGGAAACCCUGAAGCAGCAACGCCGCGUGGAGGAUGAAGGUUUUCGGUUUGUAAACUCCUUUUGUUAGAGAAGAUAAUGACGGUAUCUAACGAAUAAGCACCGGCUAACUACGUGCCAGCAGCCGCGGUAAUACGGAGGGUGCAAGCGUUACCCGGAAUUACUGGGCGUAAAGAGAGCGUAGGCGGGAUAGCAAGUCAGAUGUGAAAUCCUAUGGCCUAACCAUAGAACUGCAUUUGAAACUGUUAUUCUAGAGUAUGGGAGAGGUAGGUGGAAUUCUUGGUGUAGGGGUAAAAUCCGUAGAGAUCAAGAGGAAUACUCAGUGCGAAGGCGACCUGCUAGAACAUAACUGACGCUGAUGCGCGAAGGCGUGGGGAGCAAACAGGAUUAGAUACCCGAGUAGUC